Molecule: ribosomal RNA, 374 nt
Filed under: uncultured bacterium
Lineage: Bacteria
Description: bacterial SSU rRNA
Rfam family: Bacterial small subunit ribosomal RNA
Source: RNAcentral
GACGAACGCUGGCGGCGUGCUUAAUACAUGCAAGUGGAGCGACGAACCAGGCUUCGGCCUGGGGCAGAGCCGCGAACGGGUGAGUAACACGUGGGUAACCUGCCUCGAUGACCGGGACAACCCGGGGAAACCCGGGCUAAUACCGGAUGUGCUGUCCCCACAUCAGUGGAGACAGGAAAGGAAGCUUCGGCCUCCGCAUCGAGAUGGGCCCGCGGCCCAUUAGCUUGUUGGUGUGGAACGGCUCACCAAGGCUGCGAUGGGUAGCUGGUCUGAGAGGACGAUCAGCCACACUGGGACUGAGACACGGCCCAGACUCCUACGGGAGGCAGCAGUAGGGAAUCUUGCGCAAUGCGCGAAAGCGUGACGCAGCAACG